Molecule: small nucleolar RNA, 115 nt
Organism: Otolemur garnettii (small-eared galago)
Lineage: Eukaryota; Metazoa; Chordata; Mammalia; Primates; Galagidae
Gene: SNORA70
Rfam family: Small nucleolar RNA SNORA70
About the family: snoRNA U70 seems to be exclusive to mammals and is a member of the H/ACA class of snoRNA which contain H (ANANNA) and ACA box motifs. H/ACA box snoRNAs are involved in the conversion of uridines to pseudouridines (5-ribosyluracil) a constituent of structural RNAs (transfer, ribosomal, small nuclear, and small nucleolar).
Source: Ensembl
GUGUGGUUAAAAAUUUGUCUCAACUGGUGUGCAGUGGCUGCAGAUAGCAGCCUCCUGGGUAGUGUAUGCAGCCUGUUGCUUGUAUAGGUUGCUCUGAGGGACCUUGGAGACAUUC